Molecule: non-coding RNA, 38 nt
Filed under: unclassified sequences
Description: abiF RNA
Rfam family: abiF RNA
Source: Rfam by way of RNAcentral
CCCGCCAGGCCUCUUAACAAUGCCCAAAUGUGGAGGGU